UGAGGAAUCUUGCACAAUGGGCGAAAGCCUGAUGCAGCGACGCCGCGUGAGGGACGAAGGCCUUCGGGUUGUAAACCUCUGUCAGUAGGGAAGAAGAUUGACGGUACCUACUGAGGAAGCUUCGGCUAACUACGUGCCAGCAGCCGCGGUAAUACGUAGGAAGCAAGCGUUGCCCGGAAUUACUGGGCGUAAAGAGCUCGUAGGCGGGGGCGUGCGUCCGAGAAGAAAUCUCAAGGCUCAACCUUGGGGCUAUCUCGGAUACGGCGCUUCUUGAGGGUGAGAGAGGAAAGCGGAAUUCCAGGUGUAGCGGUGAAAUGCGUAGAUAUCUGGAGGAACACCAGCGGCGAAGGCGGCUUUCUGGCUCAUUCCUGACGCUGAGGAGCGAAAGCGUGGGUAGCGAACGGG
This 405-nucleotide ribosomal RNA is filed under the name uncultured bacterium. RNAcentral describes it as "bacterial SSU rRNA". It matches the Rfam family "Bacterial small subunit ribosomal RNA", at positions 355 to 776 of the family's 1533-position model. The record is from RNAcentral.